Molecule: non-coding RNA, 324 nt
Filed under: Eucalyptus grandis
Lineage: Eukaryota; Viridiplantae; Streptophyta; Magnoliopsida; Myrtales; Myrtaceae
Description: Bacterial small subunit ribosomal RNA
Rfam family: Bacterial small subunit ribosomal RNA
Source: Rfam by way of RNAcentral
AGGUAAAUGGCAUGUGCAAAAGUAAAAGUACUAAAGCUCAAGUGUUCAUUGUCUAAAAAUUGUUUCAUUCCCCCUGAUAGGAUAAGGCAUGGGAAUCUGCCAAACAGUUCGGACCAAAUCCGAGAGAAAGCUAAAAAGCGCUGUUUGAUGAGCCUGCGUAGUAUUAGGUAGUUGAUCAGGCAAAGGCUGACCAAGCCAAUGAUGCUUAGCUGGCCUUUUCAGAUGAUCAGCCACAAUGGGACUGAGACACAGCCUGGACUCUCACGGGGGGCAGCAGUGGGGAAUCUUGGACAAUGGGCCUUUUAUUUUGCGCGACCCUUGCCU